GUGGACAUAGUGUAAUAAAAACGUCAGAUUGUGAUUCUGAAAAUAGAAGUUAAAACCCUCUUGCCCACC
This 69-nucleotide transfer RNA is filed under the name Benthosema fibulatum (spinycheek lanternfish). RNAcentral describes it as "tRNA-His". It matches the Rfam family "tRNA". Rfam says of the family: Transfer RNA (tRNA) molecules are approximately 80 nucleotides in length. Lineage: Eukaryota; Metazoa; Chordata; Actinopteri; Myctophiformes; Myctophidae. The record is from RNAcentral.